ACUUCAACCACCACAUCUACUCACACCAAACCUCACUUCAACCACCACAUCUACUCACAACUCUUUCAUUGUUCCUACUCAUCUCAUUUCAUAGAUUUUUAGAAAGAAAAUAAGUUCGCUCAAUUAUGUCUAAACUUGAAGAGGUUUCAAAAGAGUCCAGAGCAAGAAGAUGAGAGAGAAGAUUAAGAACGAAGGAGACGUGCCCAACCAAUAGUUCAAGUACCGGCUUCUCGCAGGCCGGCGCUGGCUCAGGCGUCCUCCAUCUCGGCACUAUCGCUGAUGAGGCUACUCUCAUCUGUGAGAUGUUGUUGAAACUGACGCUGACCGCUCCGCCACCGUCGUCGUCGAUGGCCAUCCGAUAUCCGGCGAGACCCGGCUAUGGAAGCUCGGUGAGAAGGUCCAAGUCAGGCCUAACCACUUCAUAGUGGAGAUUGCAUCGAGAGAUCUGCACCACUACGAUUUCUUAUAGAAUAUAUGGUCGAUUUGGAAUGGCUCGAUUUCAGUACGGUCUACAUCAUGGGCACCGAUGAACGACUGAGUUGGAGACAACUUUGUAACCACGUUAAGGUCACCCCUACUUGGGAACAUGUCUUAAAUGAAGUUCGCUGCGUGGUGAUUGUACCUUCCUGAUGGAUAGUGUAAUCUGUCGAAUUUUACAGAGGAGUUCUAAAUUUCUCUUCUCAAGCACAAUAUCAAGCCAUGAAUGCUUAUCUUGAUUGAUUGCAACUCAUCCUUUUUUAUAGACAGAAACAUCAGCUUGGCUCUUUAGAAAACACUUCUUGUAUCUACUUGCCAUUUGUAUUCUUUACCAUUGAAUAUUUUCAUGCCAUCUCA
Molecule: non-coding RNA, 834 nt
Organism: Malus domestica (apple)
Lineage: Eukaryota; Viridiplantae; Streptophyta; Magnoliopsida; Rosales; Rosaceae
Source: RefSeq, a predicted model, not a curated record